GCCUUCGUGGUGUAGUGGUCCGCACACUCGACAUGUAUUCGAGAGAUCCGUGGUUCAAAUCCCGGCAAGAGCA
Molecule: transfer RNA, 73 nt
Filed under: Stegodyphus mimosarum
Lineage: Eukaryota; Metazoa; Arthropoda; Arachnida; Araneae; Eresidae
Rfam family: tRNA
About the family: Transfer RNA (tRNA) molecules are approximately 80 nucleotides in length.
Source: Rfam by way of RNAcentral